RNAcentral lists this ribosomal RNA (460 nucleotides) under uncultured bacterium. Its description in RNAcentral is "partial 16S ribosomal RNA". It matches the Rfam family "Bacterial small subunit ribosomal RNA", at positions 338 to 795 of the family's 1533-position model. The record is from RNAcentral.
CCUACGGGUGACAGCAGUGAGGAAUAUUGGUCAAUGGCCGGAAGGCUGAACCAGCCAUGCCGCGUGAAGGUCAGUGCCCUAUGGGCGUUAAACUUCUUUUGUGCGGGAGCAAUAAUGGUCACGUGUGGCCAGACGAGAGUACCGUACGAAUAAGCAUCGGCUAACUCCGUGCCAGCAGCCGCGGUAAUACGGGGGAUGCAAGCGUUAUCCGGAUUUAUUGGGUUGAAAGGGUGCGUAGGCUGUGAGGUAAGUCAGCGGUGAAAUGCCCCCGCUCAACGGGGUGAAGUGCCAUUGAUACUGCCUGGCUGGAAUGCGGAUGCCGUGGGAGGAAUGUGUGGUGUAGCGGUGAAAUGCAUAGAUAUCACACAGAACACCGAUUGCGAAGGCAUCUCACGAAUCCGCGAUUGACGCUGAUGCACGAAAGCGUGGGUAUCAAACAGGAUUAGAUACCCUAGUAGUC